GUACACGCUGUGACUAGCAUAUCAAUAAGCGGAGGAAAAGAAACUAACAAGGAUUCCCCUAGUAACAGCGAGUGAAGCGGGAAGAGCUCAAAUUUGAAAUCUUAAAGGGUUUCCCUUUACGAAUUGUAGUUUAAAGAAGUGUUUUCUGUUGAGGUUUUGGUAAAAGUUCUUUGGAAUAGGACAUCAUAGAGGGUGAGAAUCCCGUAUUUGACCUUUACUUUCAACUUUGUGAUACACUUUCAAAGAGUCGGAUUGUUUGGGAAUGCAGUCCAAAAUGGGUGGUAAAUUUCAUCUAAAGCUAAAUAUUGGCGAGAGACCGAUAGCGAACAAGUACCGUGAGGGAAAGAUGAAAAGAACUUUGAAAAGAGAGUUAAACAGUACGUGAAAUUGUCCAAAAGGGAAGCGUUUGACACCAGUGUUGUUUUUCUGAAAAUCAAUUAAAGAACUGUUUAUGCUAAGUUGUUUAGACUUUAUCAGCUAUCUGUUUAGUUUUGAGCCUUUUCUUUAAUGCACUUUUCAGUUAACAAGUCAACAUCAAUUUCUUUUGCUGUAAAAAAGCUUGAGGAAGGUGGCUUGAGAUUCGUCUUAAGUGUUUAUAGCCUCUUGCCUAUGCAGUCGGAGAGAUUGAGGUCUGCAGCGUAGAUCCUUCGGGGCUAAAUGCAUUUGUGCUAAGUUAUAGCAUUUUAUAGACAACUUGCUGACUAUGAUUUGUCUUGUAGCUUACUCGCUUAUGUUAUUUUACCUACGCUUAGGAUGUUGAAGAUGUAGCACAUCAU
This 776-nucleotide ribosomal RNA is filed under the name uncultured Neocallimastigales. RNAcentral describes it as "partial large subunit ribosomal RNA". It matches the Rfam family "Eukaryotic large subunit ribosomal RNA", at positions 22 to 635 of the family's 3401-position model. The record is from RNAcentral. Lineage: Eukaryota; Fungi; Neocallimastigomycota; Neocallimastigomycetes; Neocallimastigales.